UGGGGAAUAUUGCACAAUGGGCGCAAGCCUGAUGCAGCAACGCCGCGUGGGUGAUGAAGGCCUUUGGGUUGUAAAUCCCUUUCGGUUGGGAAAUAGGGCAGCUUGGCUAACAUCCAAGUUGUUUGAUGGUACCAAAAGAAGAAGCACCGGCUAACUUCGUGCCAGCAGCCGCGGUAAUACGAAGGGUGCAAGCGUUGUUCGGAAUGACUGGGCGUAAAGGGUUCGUAGGCGGGAAUGUAAGUUAAGUGUGAAAUCCCUGGGCUUAACCCAGGACGUGCAUUUAAAACUGCGUUUCUUGAGUACUGGAGGGGGUUGGGGAAUUGCUGGUGUAGGAGUGACAUCCGUAGAGAUCAGCAGGAACACCGGAGGCGAAGGCGCCAACCUGGACAGAUACUGACGC
Molecule: ribosomal RNA, 400 nt
Filed under: uncultured bacterium
Lineage: Bacteria
Description: bacterial SSU rRNA
Rfam family: Bacterial small subunit ribosomal RNA
Source: RNAcentral